AAAGUUUAUGGUGGAAAGUUGAG
RNAcentral lists this non-coding RNA (23 nucleotides) under Arabidopsis thaliana (thale cress). Lineage: Eukaryota; Viridiplantae; Streptophyta; Magnoliopsida; Brassicales; Brassicaceae. The record is from RNAcentral.